This 380-nucleotide long non-coding RNA is filed under the name Gallus gallus (chicken). The record is from RNAcentral. Lineage: Eukaryota; Metazoa; Chordata; Aves; Galliformes; Phasianidae.
GGUGUUGUCUGCAUGGUGGGAGAUUUUCAGAUUCUCCUCUUCGUUCUCCAGCAGGAUGAGUCGCACUAUAGCAAUGUUGAUGGGAUUCCCAAUGCUGGCAUGGUGGAACAGCCCCGCCACCAUGUUCAUCACAGUCAGCACGUACUUCUCGAUGUUCUCACUCCCGUGGUAUUCUAUCAUCUUGGUGUCUGCCACCACCAGCGUUUCCACCCACUUCUCCUUGCUGAUGGAACGCUGCUUUAUUCUUCUCUUCCUGUAUUGUUUCUGUUCCCAUCUUUCCCUCCGCUUCUCAAACUUCUCUAGGCUUUCCUGAGAUUCUUGCACACCGCAGGCUGCCCAUGCUGCUGGCUGCUUCUUGUCUUGCUCUCCUGGGUGCUCAG